RNAcentral lists this ribosomal RNA (382 nucleotides) under uncultured bacterium. RNAcentral's name for it is "partial 16S ribosomal RNA". It matches the Rfam family "Bacterial small subunit ribosomal RNA", at positions 338 to 734 of the family's 1533-position model. The record is from RNAcentral.
CCUACGGGUGGCAGCAGUGGGGAAUAUUGGGCAAUGGGCGCAAGCCUGACCCAGCAACGCCGCGUGAAGGAAGAAGGCUUUCGGGUUGUAAACUUCUUUUCUCAGGGACGCAGCAAGUGACGGUACCUGAUGAAUAAGCCACGGCUAACUACGUGCCAACAGCCGCCGUAAUACGUAGGUGGCAAGCGUUAUCCGGAUUUACUGGGUGUAAAGGGCGUGUAGGCGGGACUGCAAGUCAGAUGUGAAAACCACGGGCUCAACCUGUGGCCCGCAUGUGAAACUGGAGUUCUUGAGUACUGGAGAGGCAGACGGAAUUCCUGGUGUAGCGGUGAAAUGCGUAGAUAUUAGGAGGAACACCGGUGGCGAAGGCGGUCUGCUGGAC